GAUCAUUACUGAGUUUACGCUCUACAACCCUUUGUGAACAUACCUAUAACUGUUGCUUCGGCGGGCAGGGUCUCCGUGACCCUCCCGGCCUCCCGCCCCCGGGCGGGUCGGCGCCCGCCGGAGGAUAACCAAACUCUGAUUUAACGACGUUUCUUCUGAGUGGUACAAGCAAAUAAUCAAAACUUUUAACAACGGAUCUCUUGGUUCUGGCAUCGAUGAAGAACGCAGCGAAAUGCGAUAAGUAAUGUGAAUUGCAGAAUUCAGUGAAUCAUCGAAUCUUUGAACGCACAUUGCGCCCGCCAGCAUUCUGGCGGGCAUGCCUGUUCGAGCGUCAUUUCAACCCUCAAGCUCUGCUUGGUGUUGGGGCCCUACGGCUGACGUAGGCCCUCAAAGGUAGUGGCGGACCCUCCCGGAGCCUCCUUUGCGUAGUAACUUUACGUCUCGCACUGGGAUCCGGAGGGACUCUUGCCGUAAAACCCCCAAUUUUCCAAAGGUUGACCUCGGAUCAGGUAGGGAUACCCGCUGAACUUAAGCAUAUCAAUA
RNAcentral lists this ribosomal RNA (543 nucleotides) under Colletotrichum kahawae. Its description in RNAcentral is "eukaryotic LSU rRNA". The stretch from base 181 to 334 matches the Rfam family "5.8S ribosomal RNA". The record is from RNAcentral. Lineage: Eukaryota; Fungi; Ascomycota; Sordariomycetes; Glomerellales; Glomerellaceae.